AGUCCGGCUUCUCAUUUCUCCGG
This 23-nucleotide small nuclear RNA is filed under the name Arabidopsis thaliana (thale cress). RNAcentral describes it as "snRNA_09509". The record is from RNAcentral. Lineage: Eukaryota; Viridiplantae; Streptophyta; Magnoliopsida; Brassicales; Brassicaceae.